GGAGGAAAAGAAACCAACAGGGAUUGCCCUAGUAACGGCGAGUGAAGCGGCAACAGCUCAAAUUUGAAAGCUGGCUCCGGCCCGCAUUGUAAUUUGCAGAGGAUGCUUUUGGCGAGGUGCCUUCCGAGUUCCCUGGAACGGGACGCCAUAGAGGGUGAGAGCCCCGUAUGGAUGGACACCAAACCUGUGUAAAGCUCCUUCAACGAGUCGAGUAGUUUGGGAAUGCUGCUCUAAAUGGGAGGUAAAUCUCUUCUAAAGCUAAAUACCGGCCAGAGACCGAUAGCGCACAAGUAGAGUGAUCGAAAGAUGAAAAGCACCUUGAAAAGGGGGUUAAACAGUACGUGAAAUUGUUGAAAGGGAAGCGCUUAUGACCAGACUUGCGCCGGGCAGCUCAUCAGGGGUUCUCCCCUGUGCACUCUGCCCGGCUCAGGCCAGCAUCGGUUCUCGUGGGAGGAUAAGAACAGUGGGAACGUGGCCCCCUCUCGGGGGGGUGUUAUAGCCCACUGUACGAUACUCUCGUGGGGACCGAGGUUCGCGCUCCGCAAGGAUGCUGGCGUAAUGGUCAUCAGCGACCCGUCU
Molecule: ribosomal RNA, 579 nt
Filed under: Cytospora gigaspora
Lineage: Eukaryota; Fungi; Ascomycota; Sordariomycetes; Diaporthales; Cytosporaceae
Description: eukaryotic LSU rRNA
Rfam family: Eukaryotic large subunit ribosomal RNA
Source: RNAcentral